GAUGAACGCUGGCGGCGGGCCUAACACAUGCAAGUCGAGCGGAUGGAGGGAGCUUGCGCCUGGAUGCCGCGGGGGGCGGGCGGGUGAUGCACAGGAGUAUGCCCGGCAGUGGGGGAUGACGUCAGGACGCGAGAGCGGAUACAACAUACGACGAGAGGGUGAAACGGGGGGAUCAUCGGAGAACACGGGAUCUGAUGAGCCUAGGUCGGAUUAGCUAGCUGGUGGGGUAAGGGCGUACCAAGGCGACGAUCCGUAACCGGGCUGAGAGGUGGAUCAGUCACACUGGAACUGAGACACGGUCCAGACUCCUACGGGAGGCAGCAGUGGGGAAUAUUGGGCAAUGGGCGAAAGCCUGACCCAGCCAGGCCGCGUGUGUGAAGAAGGUCUUCGGAUCGUAAAGCUCUGUUAUUUGGGAGGAACAGCUGUGUGUUAAUCCCUGGCUGUCUUGACGGUACCUACUCAAAAAGCACCGGCUAACUACGUG
RNAcentral lists this ribosomal RNA (484 nucleotides) under uncultured bacterium. RNAcentral describes it as "partial 16S ribosomal RNA". It matches the Rfam family "Bacterial small subunit ribosomal RNA", at positions 28 to 507 of the family's 1533-position model. The record is from RNAcentral.